This 253-nucleotide ribosomal RNA is filed under the name uncultured bacterium. RNAcentral describes it as "partial 16S ribosomal RNA". It matches the Rfam family "Bacterial small subunit ribosomal RNA", at positions 524 to 776 of the family's 1533-position model. The record is from RNAcentral.
GACAGAGGUGCCGAGCGUUAGGCGGAAUCACUGGGCUUAAAGCGUGUGUAGGCGGGUCCGUAAGUACCUUGUGAAAUCCCACGGCUUAACCGUGGAACUGCUUGGUAUACUGCGGGUCUUGAGCCCCUUAGAGGCAACCGGAACAAACGGUGGAGCGGUGAAAUGCGUAGAUAUCGUUUGGAACGCCAAUGGUGAAAACAGGUUGCUGGGAGUGUGCUGACGCUGAGACACGAAAGCCAGGGGAGCAAACGGG